CGCGUGGGUAACCUGCCUCAUACAGGGGGAUAGCAGCUGGAAACGGCUGAUAAAACCGCAUAAGCGCACAGCAUCGCAUGAUGCAGUGUGAAAAACUCCGGUGGUAUGAGAUGGACCCGCGUCUGAUUAGCUAGUUGGUGAGGUAACGGCCCACCAAGGCGACGAUCAGUAGCCGGCCUGAGAGGGUGACCGGCCACAUUGGGACUGAGACACGGCCCAA
Molecule: ribosomal RNA, 220 nt
Filed under: uncultured bacterium
Lineage: Bacteria
Description: partial 16S ribosomal RNA
Rfam family: Bacterial small subunit ribosomal RNA
Source: RNAcentral